Molecule: ribosomal RNA, 434 nt
Filed under: uncultured archaeon
Lineage: Archaea
Description: bacterial SSU rRNA
Rfam family: Archaeal small subunit ribosomal RNA
Source: RNAcentral
GGACCUGACUGCUAUCGGAUUGAUACUAAGCCAUGCGAGUCAUUGUAGCAAUACAAGGCAUACGGCUCAGUAACGCGUAGUCAACCUAACCUAUGGACGGGAAUAACCUCGGGAAACUGAGAAUAGUGCCCGAUAGAACAUUAUGCCUGGAAUGGUUUAUGUUCCAAAUGAUUUAUCGCCGUAGGAUGGGACUGCGGCCUAUCAGUUUGUUGGUGAGGUAAUGGCCCACCAAGACUAUUACAGGUACGGGCUCUGAGAGGAGUAGCCCGGAGAUGGGUACUGAGACACGGACCCAGGCCCUAUGGGGCGCAGCAGGCGAGAAAACUUUGCAAUGUGCGAAAGCACGACAAGGUUAAUCCGAGUGGUUUCUGCUAAAGAAACCUUUUGUCAGUCCUAGAAACACUGAUGAAUAAGGGGUGGGCAAGUUCUGGUGU